UUUCCGCUUCUUUCCCCAAUUUUCCCUGCUUUUUUCCCACUUUUUUUUCCCAGUAUUUUCCCUUUUUCUGCUUUUUUCCCCACUUUUUCCCCACUUUUUUCCCCCCACUUUUUUCCCUUUUUCCUGCUUUUUUUAGCUUUUUCUGCUUUUUUCCCCAAUUUUUCCCACUUUUUUUUCUUUUUCCCCAUUUUUAUUACAUUUUUCCUGCUUUUUCCCACUUUUUUCCCCGCUUUUUCCCACUUUUUUCCUGCUUUUUCCCACUUUUUUCCCCACUUUUCCUGUGCAUUUUUGGUGGUGAAGGUCAGGAAAAAACCUGGGAUUUGACAUUUUCCAAAUUUCCCAUGGAAUCUUCUGGGAUUUGUCCACUUGGGGUUGGGAUUUUCCUCCUUUCCCAUGGAGUUUUCUGGAAUCUGGGGUGGAACUUGGGAUUUUCCAUGGAAUUUGGCCAUUUGGGGUUGUUCUUUCCGUCAUUUCCCACGGAAUUCCCCAGGAUUUUCCCAUUUUUUUUCCCUGCAGGUCCUGAUGGCCGCAGAAUCCCAGGAAUGCCGCCCGUCCUUUUUCCCGGGAAGCUCCUGGGGUGGCUCCAACGUGUUCCCAAAAUUCCCCCUUUUCCCAAUAAAAAGCGGGGAAGCCACAAGGAUUUUUCAGAAUCUUUUUUAAUCCCGAAUUUUCCUGUUAUUCCCGGUUUUUUUCCCCUGCUUCCCGAGGGAAUCCAAGGCUGGAAUAAAAGCAGGGACACCCCACUCCCUCCAGGGAUCCAUAAAAUCCUCGUGAUCCUCAAAAUCCUUGGGAAUUUUUGGGAAUGUCCCCAGAGCAGGGAAAAGAAACAGCGCCAGGAAUUUGGGGAGGGAAAUCCCAUUUUUUUUUUAGGGAAUUCUUCUGUUUUCUUGCCUUUUCCAAACCCAGAGCGACCGGAAGUUGAGAAUUUUUGGGAAUUUUUGGGCUGGGAAUGCGGUCAGUGGGAAUGGAAAGAGGAGACUGGGGAUGGGGAUGGUGGGAUUGGGAUUGGGGACAUUGGGAAUGGGGACACUGGGAUUGCAGACAUUGGGAAUGGAUUGGGGAUAUUGGGAAUGGGAUUGCGAUCGGGGACACUGGGAAUGGGAAUGGUGACAUUGAGAAUGGGAUUGGGGACAUUGGGAUUGGGGAUGUUGGGAUUGGGGACACCGGUAAUGGGAAUGGUGACACUGGGAAUGGGAUUGGGGACACUGGGAAUGGGGACAUUGGGAUUGGGGACGUUGGGAUUGGGGACACUGGGAAUGGGAAUGGUGACAUUGAGAAUGGGAUUGGGGGCACAGGGAAUGGGAAACUGGGACUGGGGACACUGGGAAUGGGGAUGAUGGGAUUGAGGACACUGGGGACAUUGGGAAUGGGGACACUGGGAAUGGGAAACUGGGAUGGAAUGGGGACAUCAGGAAUGGGACACUGGGAUCGAGGACACUGGGGUCGGGGACACUGGGAAUGGGGACACCAGGACAGGAUUUGUCACCUUCCCUGCCCCGUUCCUGGGAUUCCUACCCGGAGCCACCCCUCGGACACUGUCAGUCCUUGUGGGAUUUCUUGGGAAUUCCAGGAUUUGCUAGGAAUUCCAUCGGUCCUUGCAGGAUUUACUGGGAAUUCUGGCAUUUACUGGGAAUUGCCUUGGUCCUUGCAGGAUUUACUGGGAAUUCUGUCAGUCCCUGUGGGAUUUACUGGGAAUUCUGGGAUUUACUGGGAAUUUGUUGGUCCUUGUGGGAUUUGUUGGGAGUUCUGGGAUUUGUUCAGAAUUCCAGGAUUUCCCGGAAUUCUGGGAUUUACUGGGAAUUGCGGCGCCUCAGGCCGAUGGCCAGCACGGCUCCGGCCACCACCACUGUGGCCACAGCUGCGGCCAGCGCCGUCCCCAGGGCCAGCGGGGUCACCGCGCCUGCAAAGGGACACAGAGGGGACAUCACUGGGGACAUCAUUGGGAACAUCAUUGGGGACAUCACUGGGGACAUCAUUGGGGACAUCAUUGGGGACAUCAUCGGGGACAUCACUGGGGACAUCAUUGGGGACAUCAUUGGGGACAUCAUUGGGGACAUCACUGGGGACAUCAUCAGGGACAUCAUUGGGGACAUCACUGGGGACAUCAUCGGGGACAUCACUGGGGACGUCAUUGGGGACAUCACUGGGGACAUCACUGGGGACAUCAUCGGGGACAUCAUUGGGGACAUCAUUGGGGACAUCACUGGGGACGUCAUUGGGGACGUCAUUGGGGACAUCACUGGGGACAUCACUGGGGACAUCAUUGGGGACAUCAUUGGGGACAUCAUUGGGGACAUCACUGGGGACAUCACUGGGGACGCAAUUGGGGACGUCAUUGGGGACAUCAUUGGGGACAUCAUCAGGGACAUCAUCGGGGACAUCACUGGGGACCUCCACCGGCUGUCACUGCUGUCACUGA
Parus major (Great Tit) is the source of this 2419-nucleotide long non-coding RNA. The record is from Ensembl. NCBI's taxonomy places the organism in Eukaryota, Metazoa, Chordata, Aves, Passeriformes, Paridae.